UACGGGGGGAGCAAGCGUUAUCCAGAUUUACUGGGCGUAAAGCGUGCGCAGGCGGUUUUGUAAGUCUGUCAUGAAAGCCCCGGGCUCAACCUGGGAAUUGCGAUGGAGACUGCAAGGCUUGAAUCUGGCAGAGGGGGGUAGAAUUCCACGUGUAGCAGUGAAAUGCGUAGAGAUGUGGAGGAACACCGAUGGCGAAGGCAGCCCCCUGGGUCAAGAUUGACGCUCAUGCACGAAAGCGUGGGGAGCAAACAGG
RNAcentral lists this ribosomal RNA (253 nucleotides) under uncultured bacterium. Its description in RNAcentral is "partial 16S ribosomal RNA". It matches the Rfam family "Bacterial small subunit ribosomal RNA", at positions 524 to 776 of the family's 1533-position model. The record is from RNAcentral.